GGCCCAGAUCGUUUACCGUGAAAAAAUUAGAGUGUUCAAAGCAGGCAGAUCCAAUUUUCUGCCACCGAAUACAUUAGCAUGGGAUAAUGGAAUAGGACCCUGUCCUCCUAUUUUCAGUUGGUUUUGGCAGCGCGAGGACUAGGGUAAUGAUUAAUAGGGAUAGUUGGGGGCAUUAAUAUUUAAUUGUCAGAGGUGAAAUUCUUGGAUUUAUGAAAGAUUAACUUCUGCGAAAGCAUCUGCCAAGGAUGUUUUCAUUAAUCAAGAACGAAAGUUAGGGGAUCGAAGACGAUCAGAUACCGUCGCAGUCUUAACCAUAAACGAUGCCGACCAGCGAUUAGGAGACGUUGAAUACAAAACACCACCAUCGGCGCGGUCGUCCUUGGCGUCGGUCUUUCGGGGCCGGCGCGGGGGCGGCUUAGCCCGGUGGCACUGGUGAAUGACUCCCCUAGCAGCUUGUGAGA
This 461-nucleotide ribosomal RNA is filed under the name Acanthamoeba sp. RNAcentral describes it as "SSU rRNA". It matches the Rfam family "Eukaryotic small subunit ribosomal RNA", at positions 740 to 1095 of the family's 1831-position model. The record is from RNAcentral. Lineage: Eukaryota; Discosea; Longamoebia; Acanthamoebidae.